Molecule: ribosomal RNA, 484 nt
Filed under: uncultured bacterium
Lineage: Bacteria
Description: partial 16S ribosomal RNA
Rfam family: Bacterial small subunit ribosomal RNA
Source: RNAcentral
AUUGAACGCUGGCGGCAGGCCUAACACAUGCAAGUCGAGCGGAUGAAGGGAGCUUGCUCCUGGAUUCAGCGGCGGACGGGUGAGUAAUGCCUAGGAAUCUGCCUGGUAGUGGGGGAUAACGUCCGGAAGCGGGCGCUAAUACCGCAUACGUCCUGAGGGAGAAAGUGGGGGAUCUUCGGACCUCACGCUAUCAGAUGAGCCUAGGUCGGAUUAGCUAGUUGGUGGGGUAAACGCCUACCAAGGCGACGAUCCGUAACUGGUCUGAGAGGAUGAUCAGUCACACUGGAACUGAGACACGGUCCAGACUCCUACGGGAGGCAGCAGUGGGGAAUAUUGGACAAUGGGCGAAAGCCUGAUCCAGCCAUGCCGCGUGUGUGAAGAAGGUCUUCGGAUUGUAAAGCACUUUAAGUUGGGAGGAAGGGCAGUAAGUUAAUACCUUGCUGUUUUGACGUUACCAACAGAAUAAGCACCGGCUAACUUCGUG